UCGAGAAUGAAGAUUUGUUUUCCUAUUAAGGUAGGUUAUCGUUGGUCCUCUUUUUUUGUUUUUUUCAAUUUUUCUUUUUAAUGCAAGCAAUAGUCUCAAGUACAAGGAAGAGAAUGGUUUCACACACACACACUAUAAAAGUGUCAUGACGGUUCGAACUUGAGAUUAGUAGUAUGCACCCAUUUUUUGAGUUGAUUAUCAGUGCCUCAAUUUUUGUAUGCAG
Molecule: long non-coding RNA, 223 nt
Filed under: Prunus persica (peach)
Lineage: Eukaryota; Viridiplantae; Streptophyta; Magnoliopsida; Rosales; Rosaceae
Description: long non-coding RNA (PPER_LNC000136)
Source: RNAcentral